CCUACGGGAGGCAGCAGUGAGGAAUAUUGGACAAUGGGCGCAAGCCUGAUCCAGCCAUGCCGCGUGCAGGAUGAAGCAUCUAUGGUGUGUAAACUGCUUUUGUACGAGAAGAAACAGCUCUUCGUGAAGAGCCUUGACGGUAUCGUAAGAAUAAGGAUCGGCUAACUCCGUGCCAGCAGCCGCGGUAAUACGGAGGAUCCAAGCGUUAUCCGGAAUCAUUGGGUUUAAAGGGUCCGUAGGCGGGCCAGUAAGUCAGUGGUGAAAUCUCCCGGCUCAACCGGGAAAUGGCCAUUGAUACUGCUGGUCUUGAAUUAUUAGGAAGUAACUAGAAUAUGUAGUGUAGCGGUGAAAUGCUUAGAGAUUACAUGGAAUACCAAUUGCGAAGGCAGGUUACUACUAAUGGAUUGACGCUGAUGGACGAAAGCGUGGGUAGCGAACAGGAUUAGAUACCCUGGUAGUCCACGCCGUAAACGAUGGAUACUAGCUGUUGGGCGCAAGUUCAGUGGCUAAGCGAAAGUGAUAAGUAUCCCACCUGGGGAGUACGUUCGCAAGAUGAAACUCAAAGGAAUUGACGG
This 575-nucleotide ribosomal RNA is filed under the name uncultured bacterium. RNAcentral's name for it is "bacterial SSU rRNA". It matches the Rfam family "Bacterial small subunit ribosomal RNA", at positions 338 to 916 of the family's 1533-position model. The record is from RNAcentral.